RNAcentral lists this ribosomal RNA (305 nucleotides) under uncultured bacterium. Its description in RNAcentral is "bacterial SSU rRNA". It matches the Rfam family "Bacterial small subunit ribosomal RNA", at positions 336 to 657 of the family's 1533-position model. The record is from RNAcentral.
UUCCUACGGGGGGCAGCAGUGGGGAAUAUUGCGCAAUGGGGGCAACCCUGACGCAGCAACGCCGCGUGAUUGAAGAAGGCCUUCGGGUUGUAAAGAUCUUUACACAGGGACGAAGAAAUGACGGUACCUGAAGAAUAAGCUCCGGCUAACUACGUGCCAGCAGCCGCGGUAAUACGUAGGGAGCAAGCGUUAUCCGGAUUUAUUGGGUUUAAAGGGUGCGCAGGCGGACCAUCAAGUCAGCGGUAAAAUCGUGGGGCCCAACCCCAUCCCGCCGUUGAAACUGGCGGUCUUGAGUGAGCGAGAAG